GUAGGGAAUCUUCGGCAAUGGACGAAAGUCUGACCGAGCAACGCCGCGUGAGUGAAGAAGGUUUUCGGAUCGUAAAACUCUGUUGUUAGAGAAGAACGUUGCAUAGAGUGGAAAAUUAUGCAAGUGACGGUAUCUAACCAGAAAGGGACGGCUAACUACGUGCCAGCAGCCGCGGUAAUACGUAGGUCCCGAGCGUUGUCCGGAUUUAUUGGGCGUAAAGCGAGCGCAGGUGGUUUAAUAAGUCUGAUGUAAAAGGCAGUGGCUCAACCAUUGUGUGCAUUGGAAACUGUUAGACUUGAGUGCAGUAGAGGAGAGUGGAAUUCCAUGUGUAGCGGUGAAAUGCGUAGAUAUAUGGAGGAACACCGGUGGCGAAAGCGGCUCUCUGGACUGUCACUGACACUGAGGCUCGAAAGCGUGGGUAGCAAACAGGAUUAGAUACCCUGGUAGUCC
This 450-nucleotide ribosomal RNA is filed under the name uncultured bacterium. Its description in RNAcentral is "partial 16S ribosomal RNA". It matches the Rfam family "Bacterial small subunit ribosomal RNA", at positions 354 to 796 of the family's 1533-position model. The record is from RNAcentral.